Pelodiscus sinensis (Chinese soft-shelled turtle) is the source of this 59-nucleotide non-coding RNA. NCBI's taxonomy places the organism in Eukaryota, Metazoa, Chordata, Testudines, Trionychidae. The record is from Rfam.
UGGCCGUAAGGUUAAGGCAUAAGCCUUUUAAGCUGAGGAGUGUGGGUUCAGAGUCCCAC